Molecule: long non-coding RNA, 897 nt
Organism: Heterocephalus glaber (naked mole-rat)
Lineage: Eukaryota; Metazoa; Chordata; Mammalia; Rodentia; Bathyergidae
Source: Ensembl
CAGACAGUGAGUCCAAGGUCGUAAGUUGGGAGAAACCAGAUCCUGGGCUAAAUUUCUCAGCUACAGGGCAGAGAGAAACCAGUCACAUGCAUGUCAUGCAGGAGGCAAGUGGAUGGGGCAAAAGGGAAGAAAUGAAUUUGUGCUGGAUUUAAAUCUGCCUCAGAUUGUCCUGAUGCAAUGGAGGUCGACCACCCAUAAUUCAACUGGACAGGACGUGAUGAGUUUUGUGCUUUUAGAGUGUAGACCUCUAGAGGAUACUCUGACGUGACAUUGUCAUUUCCCAACCUCUCUCUCUUUUUUUUUUUUUGGAGACAAAGUCUUGCUAUGUAGCUCCGGCUGGCCUUGAACUCAUGGUGAUCCUCCUGCUUCAGCCUCCCGAGUGCUGGGACUACAGCCUCCUGAGUGCUGGGAUAAGAAGUGUGCACCAUCAUGCCCUACUGGGAUUUGAACUUUUGAUCUUCCUGCUUCAGCCUUGGAAGUGCUGGGAUUACAGGCAUGUGCCAUCAUGUCUGGCUGAUGUUCUGUUUCUUGAUCUGGAUGCUGGUAAUGCAGGAAGAAAGAAGAUGCAGUGGUCAAGUGACUUGUCCAAGAUCACCCAGCUGGUCAGCAGAAUCCCUACAUCAUGAAUUAAGACCUUGGAGCCUAACCCCACAUCGCUGAAGUUUUACUCCAUGUUUCUGAGAACCUUAGAGUUUUGAAGACGUGCUCCAGUGGUUCUGCAAAUGUUUAUCUGACUUAUUUUUUUUUAAAGUUAGCAAUUCUUGUUUUGUUUUUUGAGACAGGGUCUCACUAUGUAGCUCAGGCUGACCUUGAACUCACUGUGCAGCCCAGGUUGGCCUUGAACUCAAAGGUGAUCCUCCUGCCUCAGUCUCUGGAAUGUUGGAAUUAUAGGCAUGC